UCAGUAUCUUCCCUUUGAAAGCUAUAAAACACAUAAGCGACAUAAGAACUCGAACUUAUUUUAUUUACGAGCAGAAAAUGAACAAAGCUUUACUUAUCGUGUUGGUGUUUGGUCUUCUGUUGUGUGCGCACACUGCAGAGGGGUGGCGGCGACGAGGAGGAGGAAAAGCCGCACCUGAUCCAGCAACUGGUGCUGGUGGCAAAGCAGACGCGAUACGAGAAGCUGUAGAAAGGAUGAAUGAAUAUAUGGAGGAAGUCCCGAUUUAAAUAUCAUCGUCCAUACGUUGUGUUGGAAGCUAAACUACGAAAAUAAUAAACGACUUCCAACCUUGAA
Molecule: non-coding RNA, 333 nt
Organism: Ciona intestinalis (vase tunicate)
Lineage: Eukaryota; Metazoa; Chordata; Ascidiacea; Phlebobranchia; Cionidae
Source: RefSeq, a predicted model, not a curated record